Molecule: ribosomal RNA, 363 nt
Filed under: Pachyrrhynchus forsteni
Lineage: Eukaryota; Metazoa; Arthropoda; Insecta; Coleoptera; Curculionidae
Also listed under: 1 other name
Description: SSU rRNA
Rfam family: Eukaryotic small subunit ribosomal RNA
Source: RNAcentral
GUACCCACAAUUACUUGGAUAACUGUGGUAAUUCUAGAGCUAAUACAUGCAAACAGAGCUCCGACCGGAGACGGAAGGAGUGCUUUUAUUAGAUCAAAACCAAUCGGUGGCGAGUUGGUGACUCUGAAUAACUUUACGCUGAUCGCACGGUCUCGCACCGGCGACGCAUCUUUCAAAUGUCUGCCUUAUCAACUGUCGAUGGUAGGUUCUGCGCCUACCAUGGUUGUAACGGGUAACGGGGAAUCAGGGUUCGAUUCCGGAGAGGGAGCCUGAGAAACGGCUACCACAUCCAAGGAAGGCAGCAGGCGCGCAAAUUACCCACUCCCGGCACGGGGAGGUAGUGACGAAAAAUAACGAUACGGG